RNAcentral lists this ribosomal RNA (1159 nucleotides) under uncultured bacterium. RNAcentral's name for it is "bacterial SSU rRNA". It matches the Rfam family "Bacterial small subunit ribosomal RNA", at positions 8 to 1234 of the family's 1533-position model. The record is from RNAcentral.
GAGAGUUUGAUUCUGGCUCAGGAUGAACGCUGGCGGCGUGCCUAACACAUGCAAGUCGAGCGAGAAAUGAAGAGAAGAAACUUCGGUAGAUUUUCAUCAUGGAAAGCGGCGGACGGGUGAGUAACGCGUAGGCAACCUGCCCCGUACAGGGGGAUAGCCAUCGGAAACGAUGAUUAAGACCCCAUAAAGCGGAAUAUACACAUGUAAAAACCGUCAAAGAUUUAUCGGUAUGGGAUGGGCCUGCGUCUGAUUAGAUAGUUGGUAGGGUAACGGCCUACCAAGUCAACGAUCAGUAGCCGACCUGAGAGGGUGAACGGCCACAUUGGAACUGAGACACGGUCCAAACUCCUACGGGAGGCAGCAGUGGGGAAUAUUGCACAAUGGAGGGAACUCUGAUGCAGCAACGCCGCGUGAAGGAAGAAGGUCUUCGGAUCGUAAACUUCUGUCCAAAAGGAAGAAGGAAGUGACGGUACUUUUGGAGGAAGCCCCGGCUAACUACGUGCCAGCAGCCGCGGUAAUACGUAGGGGGCAAGCGUUAUCCGGAAUUAUUGGGCGUAAAGAGUGCGUAGGUGGUCACUUAAGCGCAGGGUUUAAGGCAAUGGCUCAACCAUUGUAUGCCCUGCGAACUGGGCGACUUGAGUGCAGGAGAGGAAAGUGGAAUUCCUAGUGUAGCGGUGAAAUGCGUAGAUAUUAGGAGGAACACCGGUGGCGAAAGCGACUUUCUGGACUGAAACUGACACUGAGGCACGAAAGCGUGGGGAGCAAACAGGAUUAGAUACCCUGGUAGUCCACGCCGUAAACGAUGAGCACCAGGUGUCGGGGUCGCAAGACCUCGGUGCCGCAGUUAACGCAUUAAGUGCUCCGCCUGGGGAGUACGUUCGCAGAAUAAAACUCAAAGGAAUUGACGGGACCCGCGCAAGCAGCGGAGCAUGUGGUUAAUUCGAGCAACGCGAAGACCUUACAGGCUGACAUCUCUGCGUACCGUAAAUGUAUUUCUACGACAGAAGAACAGUGUGCAUGCUGUCGUCAGCUCUGUCUGGAAUGUGGUAGUCCCCACGACGCAACCUGCUUAUGCAUCAUUAGUGACUCUAAGGACUGCGGAACAUGAGAAGUGAUGACCAUCCUUGCCUUAGUUCGGCCUCACACGGGUCACAAUGAC